UGGUUUUACUGGGUUCUGCAUCAGAUCCUCGCAUACAAGGUGACUUCACAAAUUUAGCCAAUAAGUUGUAUAGCCGAGUGAAGCUAUGUUUGACCUAUGCUACGACGAGCCACCAUCACAUUUGCAACAUGCUAAAGAGCAAAAUGACACCAAACUAAUGGAAAAUGUAAUCCAUGUUCUAUCAAGAUAUUUCUUACCGCUGCAACCAGGCACAACUGACAUAGUCUUCAGUCGAUGCCAUGCAGACGGACAUGGAGGUUGUGUUCGAGGUGCUGAAGAGCCUAGAGGACGUUGAGGAGCUGGACCCCGAGUGGCUGCAUGAUCCUCACAAGCUGCACACGUGCGUGGAGAAGGACACCUCCUUGUCGGACUCGUGCGGCGUCGACCCAUUCGGGCUGGUGGUGAUGGCGCCCGAAGGCAUGCAGAGCAGGAGCAGAUCACCGUAUUCUUCAGGGAGUGACCAGGAUCUCAGCUUCUCGAUCUAUGCUUCUUUGUGAUUUCUCUUCUAAUUUGUCUACCUCCUUUUUCUGCCCGCAGAUUGGAGCAAGAGCAAGGUGGUCAGAUCUAGAUCGAAAGUCAGUGAGACGAAAGCCGUUUUUACCUCAUUGGUCAAGCAACACUAUUCACUCUUUGAUGCAACAUGGGAAGCUUUAUUUCCUGAAGCACUAGCUGGGAAGUCAGUGAGACGAAAGCUCAUGAGGGCAGGUCCAAGGGCACUGAUCUUCCCAGCACCUGCAAACGCUACCUCAGCAACCAUGCGCCUCUUGAAGAUCACCUGGGCAGAGCUGGCACUGUUUGCAACAUCUGCCUUCACUUCAUUGACAUGACCGUAUUGGCUAAAGAUCUUGAUAAGGUCACACUUUGUAGGAUAAAUGCAUGGUCUGCUGAAGUGCAGCACCAGAUUUUCUCUCUGCUGAAGACCACAUGCUGCUACAGAGAGCUGCCAUAGCAUUUCUCCACAGAUGCAAGCCCAACCAUUCUGUUCUUCCAAUAAAAUACUGGUAUGGUGAGAGUGAUGGUUAUCCUUCUCAGAAAGGGAGAGAUCAAGAAAGAUGAGAUAUAAAUUCAUAUGCUACCAGAACAAGAAAGAUGAGAGCGGUUGGUGGCCGAGACUCCUAAAAAAGGACCUAUGUUCUUGAAGGUUGACUGGACAAAUGGUAUGACGAGGAUGUCGAAGAUGUUGGAUGUUAGAAUUUCACUUUUGGUUGAUUAUGUUUUUUCUUAUGCACCUGACAAAUCUAGAUAUGCAACUAGACAUGCUUUAUUCUUGUUCCUGUUUUGUUUUCCUUAUGUAUUAAUUCCUUAACUUGUAAUGCACAUGAUGUUUUCCUUAUGUAUUAAUUCCUUAA
Molecule: RNA transcript, 1349 nt
Organism: Zea mays
Lineage: Eukaryota; Viridiplantae; Streptophyta; Magnoliopsida; Poales; Poaceae
Gene name: protein-like pseudogene
Exons: 4
Source: RefSeq, a predicted model, not a curated record